UCUCCAUGAACUGAUUUUUUUUGUGCAGUGGGCAGGAAGAACCCAUGGGGCAGUUACACAUCUUGAAAGAGAAGCUCUUCCUGUGAGGUACAUCAACUGUGGUUAAGAAUCUUACGUACUUAUCAUUUUUUGUUGUUGUGAGAACAUUUAACAUCUACUCUUUUCUUUUUCUUUUCUUUUUUCUUUUUUUUUGAGACAGAGUCUUGCUCUGUUGCCCAGGCUGGAGUACAGUGGAGCAAUCUUAGCUAACCGCAACCUUCACCUCCC
RNAcentral lists this long non-coding RNA (267 nucleotides) under Homo sapiens (human). RNAcentral's name for it is "non-protein coding lnc-MUC20-70:1". Lineage: Eukaryota; Metazoa; Chordata; Mammalia; Primates; Hominidae. The record is from RNAcentral.